GGCUUUUACUAUUUGAAUCUUCCGAGACCACCGUCAUUUGUCCGGUUAACCCCUCCAUUAGUUUAUAUCAAGGAUUAUCUUAGAUUUUAUUUAGCAACCUCUCUUAAAUCACACCACAUCUAGAUUAUUCUUGUGGAUAGAGUGGGGGAUGCCAGAUAAUCUAAAGCUUGCACUAGGGUGGGUGAUGACAGGGCCAGAGAUUGAUGAAGGAACGGAGGCAUUACCUAUAUGAAAAUUUUGGACAAUUCGUGUUGAAAGCUAAGUUGCGGACUCUUACUUUCAGUGCUGCACCAGUGGCGACGCGUACUUCUACCAAAAUUGAUUCGAGAAAUAAGGGACAAAAGCGAGGGUGAAACAAUAAUUAGGCAUAUGUUUUUUUAUCGUUAAAAGAUAUUUGUACUAAAAAGCCAGACACUAAGGGUGCUUUAAAGAUAUUAACAGGUCAAUAUCACUGUUGAAUGCGCAAUGAACUCAAGAAGUCUAUCAUGACUUCUAUAUCUCAUUUGCAAUAGUGAUGUUACACCCAAAAACAAUAAAGAGAUGCAUGUGUACUCAAUAAUUUCAGAGUUGAACUUGCUCUCGGUGCAUUCCUUUC
Molecule: long non-coding RNA, 595 nt
Organism: Solanum pennellii
Lineage: Eukaryota; Viridiplantae; Streptophyta; Magnoliopsida; Solanales; Solanaceae
Exons: 2
Source: RefSeq, a predicted model, not a curated record